This is an RNA transcript of Pan troglodytes (chimpanzee), 4487 nucleotides long. It is a transcript of the gene named armadillo repeat containing 8, with no coding region annotated. Lineage: Eukaryota; Metazoa; Chordata; Mammalia; Primates; Hominidae. The record is from RefSeq and is a predicted model, not a curated record. The transcript has 23 exons.
AGAUCUUCUUUGCGCAUGCGGAUACCGCUGCCCGCUUCCACCUCUAACCCAGGCUCAGAGUAGCUGCUGUUUCUGAGAGAACGAUUCGUAGGACAGCCCCUGACGCCAUUCCCUUUUGCCCUUCUUUCUGCGGGCCUUUCCGGUACUUGAGCGGUGUCCAGAGCGUGGCCAGUUCUCGUCUAUCUGGCUGCCUUUAGGGAGCGGUGCCUAGCGUUGGCCAAUAGUUGGCUGUCGAAAGUGCCGGCCCCCGCGCCGGCGCCUGCAGCAGCCGGGUGGGAAGGCUCAAGAUGGCGUGCCUGUUGGAGACCCCAAUCCGCAUGAGCGUCCUUUCGUUUUUUUAAAGAAAAAGACGACUUUCACCUUUCACUAUGUUGCUCUUGAACCAGGACCAGGAAUGAAAGUUACUGGGAGAUAACUUCGAAGGAUUUUGCAACAAAUUCGAGCUGUCCGACUCUGAGAAUGGAAGUAACAGCUAGCAGUCGCCACUAUGUUGACAGGCUAUUUGACCCUGAUCCCCAGAAAGUUCUACAAGGUGUCAUAGACAUGAAAAAUGCUGUAAUUGGAAACAACAAGCAGAAAGCCAAUCUCAUUGUUUUAGGAGCUGUUCCAAGAUUGUUGUACUUGCUUCAGCAAGAAACCUCAAGCACAGAGCUGAAAACUGAAUGUGCAGUGGUGUUGGGAAGUCUUGCUAUGGGUACUGAAAACAAUGUCAAGUCUCUACUGGACUGCCAUAUUAUCCCUGCCUUAUUGCAAGGACUACUGUCCCCAGACCUGAAGUUUAUUGAAGCUUGCCUCCGAUGCCUGCGUACCAUCUUCACCAGUCCUGUCACUCCAGAGGAGCUACUGUAUACAGAUGCCACAGUGAUACCACACCUCAUGGCACUGCUUAGCAGGUCCCGCUAUACCCAGGAGUACAUCUGUCAGAUCUUCUCACACUGCUGUAAAGGGCCAGAUCAUCAAACAAUUUUAUUUAACCACGGUGCAGUUCAGAAUAUUGCUCACCUACUAACCUCACUGUCCUACAAAGUUCGAAUGCAAGCACUGAAAUGUUUCUCAGUUUUAGCUUUUGAAAACCCCCAGGUAUCGAUGACCCUGGUAAAUGUUUUGGUUGAUGGAGAAUUGUUACCACAGAUUUUUGUGAAGAUGUUACAGAGGGAUAAGCCUAUUGAGAUGCAGCUCACAUCAGCAAAAUGUUUAACUUACAUGUGUAGAGCUGGAGCAAUUCGGACAGAUGAUAACUGUAUUGUAUUAAAGACAUUACCUUGUUUGGUUCGAAUGUGCAGUAAGGAGAGAUUACUAGAGGAGAGAGUUGAAGGAGCUGAGACACUUGCCUAUCUGAUUGAACCAGAUGUUGAGCUACAGAGAAUCGCUAGCAUAACUGAUCACCUCAUUGCCAUGCUUGCUGAUUAUUUCAAGUAUCCCAGCUCAGUGAGUGCCAUCACUGAUAUUAAAAGGCUUGAUCAUGAUUUAAAACAUGCUCACGAACUCCGCCAGGCUGCAUUCAAGCUCUAUGCCUCUCUUGGAGCAAAUGAUGAAGACAUCCGGAAGAAGAUCAUUGAGACUGAAAAUAUGAUGGACCGAAUUGUGACUGGCUUGUCUGAGUCUAGUGUCAAGGUGCGGUUAGCUGCCGUCAGAUGUUUGCACAGUUUAUCCAGAUCUGUGCAGCAGCUUCGAACCAGUUUCCAGGAUCAUGCUGUUUGGAAACCUUUAAUGAAGGUUUUACAAAAUGCACCAGAUGAAAUCCUAGUGGUAGCAUCUUCCAUGCUGUGUAAUCUUCUUCUUGAAUUUUCUCCAAGCAAAGAGCCAAUUUUGGAAUCAGGAGCCGUAGAGCUACUUUGUGGAUUAACUCAGAGUGAAAAUCCUGCUUUACGAGUGAAUGGAAUUUGGGCUUUAAUGAAUAUGGCAUUUCAGGCUGAACAAAAAAUAAAAGCAGAUAUUUUACGAAGCUUGAGUACUGAACAGCUAUUCCGGUUAUUAUCAGAUUCAGAUUUGAAUGUGCUGAUGAAGACAUUGGGACUUCUUAGAAAUCUCCUCUCCACUCGUCCUCACAUAGAUAAAAUAAUGAGUACUCAUGGAAAGCAAAUUAUGCAAGCCGUCACUCUUAUUCUAGAAGGGGAACAUAACAUUGAGGUCAAAGAGCAGACACUGUGCAUCUUAGCCAACAUAGCGGAUGGGACAACAGCAAAAGAUCUUAUUAUGACCAAUGAUGAUAUCCUACAGAAAAUCAAGUAUUACAUGGGAGCCCAAACUGGACAUCUCCUUAAAAGUGUUGGCAGUUAGAAGAAGAAAGAAUCACUAGCCAUAGAAUUCUACUGGAGGAAGCCACAUCCAUUUCUUUGUCUCUGCUUAGUUGAAAUAUAGUCCUACAUGAGAAGAUAAGUCUGUCUUAGCCUUGAAAAAACCAUUGAGCAUAUUUUGCCAUUGAUACUCCCUCAGAUGUGCAUAAAUUAUUUAAACAUACUAGAAAUUUUUUUUAUUGACCAAUAGGACAAUCAUCUAUAAAGUUUAUUUUAUUAUUGAGUCCUUUUUCAUUCAGGUGAAAACACCCUAUCCAAAGCAACUAGAAAUGGUUGUACUUUCAGUACAUAAAGGAAAAUAAAUAAGAAUUGUAUUUAGAAGAAUAGGAGGCUCAUCAGUGAUAGUAAAGACAUUUGAGAAAUCAACUAGCGAUUUCAUCAAGUUUUGGGGGAUAUUCCUUUAGAAAUAGGAGUAAUUUAAUUAUUCCAGAAGCUGAAGGUAUUAUAUAAUGCUUCUUGUUUUCAGCAAGUUGUGUCAGAGGAGUAAACCAUUUAUAGAUUGUGUGUGUGUGAAAGUCUAGGUGUUACAGAACUUCCUGACCAUAUAUUCACUUUCUUCCCCAAAGGAAUUAUUGGGCCAUUUGAAUAAGAUAACCAGUAGCUUAAGAGAUAAAUACCAAAUGCACAUCCACCCAGUGUAUGUUGGCUGUUGGUGACCUGGAAACAUAGCCUAAGUCAAAAGCAUAGAAUUGUCAUAUGACAGUGUUUCCUCAUGCAUGGAUUGAAUCAUAAAUUGCAAACUGUACCCAUAGCCCUAGAGGUGUUUUGUUUGUCCAGCCAGAUGGUUUUUUAAAUUUGAAUUUGAAUGUCUUUUGGCAAGGCUUGUACUCCUCAAUUUGCCAGAUUCUCCACUGUCCCUUGUUAUCUUUAGCCCAACCCUUUUACUCAUUAGUGUUAACUUCAUGGCCCCUCAAGACAUUUGACUUUGAGGACUCUUCUUCAGACUUUUUUUUUUUUUUUUUUUUUUUUUGAGACGGAGUCUCGCUCUGUCACCCAGGCUGAGUGCAAUGGCGCGAUCUCGGCUCACUGCAACCUCUGCCUCCCAGGUUCAAGCGAUUCUCCUGCCUCAGCCUCCCUAGUAGCUGAGAUUACAGGCGCCCGCCACUACACCCGGCAAAUUUUUGUAUUUUUAGUAGAGACGGGGUUUCACUGUGUUAAUCAUCCUAGUCUCGAACACCUGACCUCAAACUUCCACCUGCCUUGGUCUCCCAAAGUGCUGGGAUUACAGGCAUGAGCCACCUCACCUGGCCCUGCUUCAGACUUUUAGGUUAUAGGAAUUGCCUAUGGUAGGUCCCCCCAAAAAAAGAUCUAAAAUGAGAUUACCACCAUUUUGAUUUUUUUUUCUUUUUUUGUAUUAAUAGGGCCAUUCACAUGUUAAACUGCAGCUUGCAGCCAUGUUUUGUAUAUCAAACCUCAUAUGGAAUGAAGAGGAAGGUUCACAAGAACGCCAGGAUAAAUUACGAGACAUGGGCAUCGUAGAUAUUCUACACAAACUGAGUCAGUCACCAGAUUCAAACCUUUGUGACAAGGCAAAGAUGGCACUGCAGCAGUACCUGGCAUGAUGGGAGUGCCCCUGGGCACCUGUGAGCAUCCCACCUCCUUGUUUAAGGAAGUACAGGAACCAGCCUCAUUUGAUUCCUUCUAUUUGCACAAGUCACCUUGGACUGCAGGGAGCUGUUUUGCAAAAGCAGUUUAGUAGGCUUAGAUCUCAAAUUCAUCUUGAGAACAUUUUUUUGAGGUAGUCAUUUCCUCAGAAGACUCUUGUGUUUUGUUUUGGUUUUUUUUUUCUGAGCUACUCGGACUCUUUAUUAGAACAAUCAAUCAUUUUCCUUUGGACCUACAAUUUUUGCCUAUGCUGCAGCCACUUUGUGAGUGAGAAUGAAUAUGUCUGUGUGAACACACAGGCAUGCGUGUGUAUGUGCACGUACAUGGGCCAGAAUGAAUGGAUGUGUGUGUGUGAGGGAUACCUCAGAUUUUUCUUUUCUUAUUUUGUGUGAAAAUCUCUUUUCUACAGAUUUUCCAGGGUUUAAGCAUUGCUUGCUGUAUAAAAAACUUUACUGAAUUAUAUACAGUUUGAAUGAAAUGUUAUUUUAAAAACAAAACAAUUGUUAAGUGUUCCAUAAAGGUUAUGUUGAAUUUUGGUCAGAUGAAUAUUUGUAAGUAAAAAAUAUAUGCAUUUCUGAACCUCAA